Molecule: long non-coding RNA, 3553 nt
Organism: Polyodon spathula (Mississippi paddlefish)
Lineage: Eukaryota; Metazoa; Chordata; Actinopteri; Acipenseriformes; Polyodontidae
Exons: 6
Source: RefSeq, a predicted model, not a curated record
UAUCUGUCCUUGAAAAUAAUGAUACAGAUUCACAUAUUUUGAGGUUUGAUUGUCUUUCUCUUUAGACCUCCAGCUACUCUACCACAUCAUACCAAAAUGCAGCUACAGCAGAGAAUAAUACAUUAGUGAUCGCUCUUUCAGUUGCUAUACCAAGCUUUGUGAUUCUUCUCAUCAUAGCUAUAGUUGUGUCAGUAAUUCUACUGAAAAAGAGAAAAAGGGGAAGAAAAGCUACCACACAAAGCAAGCCUGAAUUCAGCAUUCAUUCAGAAAGUAUGCAUACUUGGAAUAAAACGGUAGCAAGUGAAGCCCGUCGGAGACCGCUCCUUGACUGAGAGUAGAAGUCUGUAUGAAUCGACAUGAAAUUUUGGGUCCCGAUCAAAUCCUUAUUUAAGUGAAUAAUGUGAUCCCUUCUACAAUCUGGUUUGUUUUGGAAUCCUGCAGGAUUUUUUGUCAAGUCAGUGUAAAUCUGACUGCAUUCCUGGCACAGAGUCAUGUGAUUGUUAUUUUCUAACUAGUAUUUAUGAAAAACAAAAGCAAGACUUUGCUUAUCCAACUGGUGCCAUGCUGAAUUAUGAAGUAGUUGAACAGUAAAUAAAACGGCAAAACAAUCACACAGAGCUAUUUCACGAAAGAAAAUGUGCACAUGCCAAAAAAGCUGAAAGUUGAUCAAAACCAACACAAAAAGAGCUAAGUGAAAAAUUCAGAAAUCGGAAGGCAAACAGUUUCGGACAUUACGAAAAGAAAAUGUGUCUACUUAAAGCAACAUGGAGAAAACGUCAAGUUAGACCAAUAAACGUUCUUCAUUGGGAAUGGUUUAAAAAGGCUUGUGCAAAAUGCUUCAGACCAAAGCACUUGAAUUUGCAAACCAUCUGAAUAUUGAAGAUUUCAAGGCUUCCAGUGGAUGGCUAGGGAGUUGGUGAUCACGUUGUGCUAUUAAAUUCAGCCAGCUUUCCAGUGAUUCAACCAAUGUAAAUUUAGAGAGUGUGUCUGAAUUCAAAGCAAAACUGGCUGAACUCUGCUGGUGAUGACGUUGGUGACAUUUUUAAUUGUGAUGAAACUUGCCUUUGGUUGAGGUUGUUGCCUGACUGAACACUAGCUCAGGUGACUGAUGAAUGUAAGCGAAGCAAAGGUGCAAAGGAAAGGCUAACUGUUAUUCUGUUACAGUGCAACUGGAGAGGAGUCCAUAUAUAUAUUUAUAGGAAAAGCUGCAAAGCCUCUGUGUUUUGGACACACUGAUCCAGCAACACUACCUGUCACCUGGACAGGCAAUAACAAAGCCUGGAUGACAACUGCACUUUUUUGUGCCUGGCUCAAGGAGCUGAACAAAAUGAUGCACACGAAGAAACGUAACAUUUUACUUCUGCUUGACAAUGCAACCUCUCAUUGCAUUGAGCAGUGUGCAAAUGCUGCUUCUGCCUCCAAACACGACCAGCUUUUUACAGCCUCUGGAGCAGGGCAUUAUUCAGCUUUACCGCAUAUUCUGCUUUACCGUAUGCAUAUGAAUGACUGGGAACAGCAGCUUUUGGCUCAACACCUGAAUCCAGCCACCACCAAUGCAUUGACUUUUAAAGACCAGUCAGAUGUUGAAGAAUAAACUUCAGCUUCACCGUUAUCAAUCAGUGAGGCACUGAAUACGCUUGGGGGGUCUGAGAAUAACCAUUCUACAGAGCAAUCCUGCUGCAGCAUUUUAUUAGACUGGCUGAAAAAAACAUUGACCACAAAAUUGAAAGCUGUAAAUCAUUUCACCUUUUUUAGGUACAGUAUUAGAUGUUUUACAGUACCUCUAUAAACCACCACACAGUAUAAUCCUGAGCAAUUUUCCAGUGCCAAGUGAUUAGACAGGUUAUACUGUAUCUAGUGCUUAUUGAGUUCAGUUGGUUUUUACAUUCUUUCAGCACAAGUUCUUGAGAGUACCAGAAGCUGGUGUUAUAAGGGGCAUAUAUCUGAAUGUUAAACUUUUUUUCAAUGUCCAUGCAGGCCCUGUACUUUUUCUAUUUACAGGGAAUGUCAAUGACAAAGAAGAAAAAUAAGAUUAGUAUACAAUUGUCAUAUAUGCUUGCAGCAAACUCUAAAAAGAUGCUUAUUGGUGUUACAGACUAUAGCUUUUUGUUCAAAAUUGUAUUGUACUAAGGGGGAGUCUCAUUUGGGAAUUUAUGAUAAAUGUAAAACAUCUGUUGCAGUCACAAAUAGAAAUAUGUAAUUUUUGGUCCUAGUACUUUCAGCUAUUUGCAUGUUCUGGCAGUUGUACAGUACUUCAGGUAGCGAGUUUGCUGAGGCCUUGGAAGUUUCACUGCAGUAGUACUCAGAAAGACUACAUAGGAAAUCUAGCAGGAAGAUUUUUUUUUUUGUUCAUAAAACCUUUGUGGAUUAUUUGAACUGUGACAAAAGUGCAUAGCUAACCAGGGGAGCAGACUUCAGGUAAUGUAAAUACAAUCUGAAUAAGACAAGGCCAUCCCUUAUGGGACAUACUGUGUUUGUUCACAAGCAACUAGAAAAUAGUCAUUCAAUUACUUCCUGUGAGGGAAGUCACUGGCACUACAACUACAAAUAUCUCAUAAACCAUUUCAGCUGGCAAUUUCGUUGUAUGUGUAAUGUCACCUUUCAGUUAGACCUGAGAAAUAAAGCCCCUUUCACACUGGCAUCCUGCCCGGGUCCUGGCUGCCCAGGUCACAGUCCUGCGCAGUGUGAAACCACGUACCUGGGUAGUACCCAGGUUAACUCUGGUCCCAGCGACCCACCUCAGAAUGUAGGUUGACACGCUUUGACCCUGGUUGAGCAAGACCAAGUGCAUGAUGGCCAUUGUACUUGUGUCUGUCACUGAGGUCAAAAGCAGUGUGAAGUCGUGUACUCAACACCGACUAGAGCAUGCCAGUGUGAGAGCGGCUUAAGGUGGCUGUUGCAUAGCAACAUCUCAUCAAAUGGAGUCCACCCGUGUAUAUAUGUCACACAUUGCUACAUGUGCCUAGAUAACCCACUUAUUAAUUUGUUAAUAUUCUUUAGCACUGGUAUAAGUAUCAAGACAAUCAGAAUGUGAGGAUGUAUGUCAAACUUGCAUAGCUACUGCUUACAGCUGGUCACUCCGAAGUGCUUUUUUUGAUCGAAAGUGCUUUCACUAGUGUUUGUACCGAGUUUUAGGUUGUUUUUUGAAAAAUGCAAUUAUUGCAGAAAACAGACAACCUAUUAGUAUAAGUGGCCAUUAAAAAAAAAAAAAAAAAACAUGUUUUUGCAAGAUGUGUACAUUAGGACUAAACACCAGUAAAUUAUGCAACUUCAUACAAAAGGUUUGAAGGGCUUUUUAGAAGUUGUUUAAAGUCUUUGAAGUUUACGCUUUGAUCUACAGUGGUAGCCAUAGCCAGCUACCUGUCGCGAGACUGUCACAUUGCUGUAACGCAAAUAGGUGACAAGGUUCCAGUGCUUUUUUUCUGACCAGCUUUGAAUCAGCUGCACAUCAUUAGUCCUGCCACUAGGUGGCAAAAUAACACAAACUAUACUAAGUAUCAAAAGAAACGUACCACUUAUAUUUGGAUAAAAUUCACUAGAUGUGAUUGAAAAA